RNAcentral lists this ribosomal RNA (221 nucleotides) under uncultured bacterium. Its description in RNAcentral is "partial 16S ribosomal RNA". It matches the Rfam family "Bacterial small subunit ribosomal RNA", at positions 99 to 334 of the family's 1533-position model. The record is from RNAcentral.
CGCACGGGUGAGUAACACGUGAAUUAUCUACCUCCGAGUGGGGAAUAACUGAGAGAAAUCUUAGCUAAUACCGCAUAACACUUACGAGUCAAAGCAGCAAUGCGCUUGGAGAGGAGUUCGCGGCCGAUUAGCUAGUUGGCGGGGUAAUGGCCCACCAAGGCGAUGAUCGGUAUCCGGCCUGAGAGGGCGCACGGACACACUGGAACUGAAACACGGUCCAG